RNAcentral lists this long non-coding RNA (1305 nucleotides) under Callithrix jacchus (white-tufted-ear marmoset). RNAcentral describes it as "lncRNA (ENSCJAG00000073568.1)". Lineage: Eukaryota; Metazoa; Chordata; Mammalia; Primates; Cebidae. The record is from RNAcentral.
ACUGAGAGUACAGCAAGUUCAGGAACCUCCUCUUCUCACUUUCCAUUAUACAGGGCAUGUAUAUUUCCAGCACCUGACACAGUGCCAGUUACUGAAAAGGCAUUGAUUAAUAUUGUUUCAUAAAUUCAUGACAUUAAUAGGCAUUUGCUACUAAAGAGCCAAACUAGCUAGCAUCCACAACAAGGUAAAAACAGUCAACCCAAUGGUACAUGGUAUUUCUGAUGAUUCUUCUCUCAUUAAAGAGAAUUUUUCUAGAUAUUGCUUCUUCUUUGAUUACAACCACCAACAAAUGAAGCCAGGCUGCAUGGCUCAGCUCCUGGUAUAUACGAGACAUGCAGGGUUAUUUGGGUUGGAUUCUAAUUUCACAAAUCUUAUCACAAGCAACAAGCAUGAUUAAAAACUUUAGCCAUCUAGAAAGCAAAAACUACUUGUUUUUCUUUUUCUGAAGCUUCUGGAGUGGGGGAAAACUAAUGUUUUAUAUAAAUAACCGAGAAAAUACAACCAGAAGUUUUAGCAAUUGCCUGACCCAAUCCUCAGGCCACAUCUUCAGUUCCUGCCCUUCCCCAUCUCUCUUGCCCUCUGGGUAGCUUGCUCCACACUGGUUUCCUCUCUCUGCCCUGGCACCUGCCAGAGAAGAAGCAGAUGCUCAUCUUGGCUAGCCCCACAUGGCCACAGCAGGCAUUCUGGUCUCUCUGCUUCCUGCCUCGUGUGCAUGCCCAGGUGUUGCGUCAGAGAACUUCAAGAGCUAAAGCACAGCCUUCGCAAGUCAGUCAGAUGGAGCCAGCCCUACAAAACAUCAGCUAUGACAUUCUGCCACCUCUGGUCUUCUCCACUCAGGAAUCCCUGUUCACAUUCCACACUGUCCCCUACCCUAGUACCCUCAGAUCACUGAUGCUCUUCCGAUCCCCCUUCUGGAAACUGCUCUUGGUUGAAGAGUCCUGCGUCACAUCCCAGGUUAUGCCUCUUUUCUAGGGGCAGCCUAUAUCCAAUAACUGGUCAGUGCCAGGGACAUAAGGCUCAGCCCCCUUACCUCAGAGUAGGACAACCAUGAAAGGCCAUCCUUACUCUAGAGCUUGCUGGGGGAUCAGCAAAUCCUCUAUUGCAACUGCAUCCUUGUCUUGUUUCAGAUCUUAGAGAAAAGGCUUUCCAUUAUUCCCCAUUCAGUGUGAUGUUAGCUGUGGGUUUGACAUGUGUAGCCUUCAUUGUUUUGAAGUAUGUUCCUUUUGUACCCAGUUUGUUGAGAGUUUUUAUUGAAAAGCAAUCUUGGAUUUUAUCAAAUGCUUUUCUAACAUCCAUGGAUAUAAU